AUCACUUCUCAGCCUUUUGGCUAAGAUCAGUUGUAGCAUCUGUUCUUAUCUGUUUAACAUGUGAUACUUCCUCUAUCCGAGGACAAUAUAUUAAAUGGAUUUUGGGAGCAGGGAGAUGGAACAGGAGCUUGCUCCGUCCACUCUGCACGUUGACCUGAUAUUGCAGAACCUCUGGGGGAUGUGGGCGGG
Hyaena hyaena (striped hyena) is the source of this 189-nucleotide small nuclear RNA. RefSeq annotates it as U2 spliceosomal RNA. The record is from RefSeq and is a predicted model, not a curated record. NCBI's taxonomy places the organism in Eukaryota, Metazoa, Chordata, Mammalia, Carnivora, Hyaenidae. The transcript has a single exon.